Herpailurus yagouaroundi (jaguarundi) is the source of this 2279-nucleotide long non-coding RNA. RefSeq lists it as uncharacterized. The transcript has 2 exons. The record is from RefSeq and is a predicted model, not a curated record. Lineage: Eukaryota; Metazoa; Chordata; Mammalia; Carnivora; Felidae.
AAUGCAAGCCUUUCCUAUUCUCCCUGUCCCACACCCACCCGGCCGGCUUCAUCCUAAGCGGGUGGCCCCACGGCUGUGAGAGCGGCUGCCAGCCGCGACGGGGGGUCAUGGGUGUUUUUGUUCGAACCUGGCGGGAGAUAGCACACUUCCCUACACGCAUCCCAGGGAAGUGCCCUGCGGACGACAGCGGCUUGGGCUGCAAUUAGGGGUGAAGUCAGACCACUUAAGACACGUAGACUUCCCUGGACGGUUUUCUAACGAGACCAGACAGAGACACCCUUGCUAACAAGUUGCGUCACCUGGCAUGGAUGACCUCAUCGAAUCACCGCGUGUGAGGUAGGCACGAUUGCUCCCAUUUCACUGAAGAGGAAACUGAGACACAGCAAUGUCUCGGAACUUGUUCGGCUCACGCAGGUUUCAAGCAAUAGAGCCAAGAUUUAAAACGUGGGUUCCUAAUAACUUCAUGGCUUACAAGAUGACCUAACUGGGAGGCUGUAGAAAAGUGCUACUGUCCUGUUUACCAAAGUCAAGAGCCAAGAAUUCUUGCCAUUAAUCAUUCCUUAAAGGAGAAAUCAGCACCACCCCACCCACUCCACCCUCCAAUAAGCAAAAACAUAAAAGUGUUAUUUGGGAACACUUACUUAUUAUCACUUCACAUGCCUGAAAUUAGGUAAUCAGAUUAAAAAUUAAUCAUGAAAAUGAACAAAUGGGGACUCCAAUAAAAGGUAAAUAGGUGCCAGGCACUCUCUUAAGCACAUGUCAUGUACUUUAUCAUUAAAUAGUCACAAAAACCCAGUGAGGUCAUACUAUUUCCAAUUUACAGAUUGAGAAAGUGAAGCCCAGGGAGGUUACAUAACUUGCCUAAGGUUAACUAGCCAACACCUGGCAGAACUAAAAUGUAAACCCUUCCUCUUAAAACCUAUUCCAAAUCCCCUCCAUACAUUAAUAAUUCUUCUAUCUGUUAUCUCUAUCACAAACCUGAUCGGGUUCCAAGCAAAUUAGGAAUGAGUUUCUUUUCCUGGGACAGUCUCCCAUCUGUCCCAGGAAAAGAAGAAGGAGACGCCAGGUAUGGCCUCUGGAAACCAGGCAAUUUUUUUGAAACACCUGCUUGGCCCUCCAAAGCAUGCCCUCUCAAGGCAGAACUUUAAUCGAAGCUAAUUUUUCUCCUGAGGGAGGUGAUAAUGAAAAAAGUGAUUGAGAAACACAGCAAGAAUCCACUGGGAAAUGAACUAAGACUGAGCAUGCCCCCCCCCCCACCCACCGCUGCCGCUGUACCCACACUCCUUCCCUGAAUCUGAAUCUGGGCAAUGUUGGCUGCUAACCAGGUGGAGGGGAUGGGGCACACUUUGGGAAGCGCUGCUUCAGACCACAGUCCCCGCCACCAGGCCGCACUCAGGAUGGGGUGUGAGCAGGAGAAAAUCCUUGCCGAUUGCAUUUUCUUUCUUGCCUUCUGAACUCAGAAGGUCCUGAUGCUCAGCUCUGCUCCAACCAGGCCAAGCCUGGGGGAAACCUCCACCAGAGAAGAACAGAAAGAGAAAAGCAUCUGUCUACACGGUUUUUUGUCCCCCUUGCAAUCUACACGCAGCAGCGUUACCCAGCCACCCCCUCCCCAAACACACACUCUGCCUGCCGUUAGUACAUCUCGUGGGGUUUCAGGCCUGUGUCCGUGAGGAUAUGGGGACGGAUUUAUUCAGCAGGAAUGUGGUUACAGACAAAGGAGAAGGAGGAGGGGAAAGAAGCAGAACUCUGCCAGGAAUUCCUCUUGCAAAGGGAAUCUGCUGAAGAAGAUAAGGAGAAACGGAGACUCGGAAGGUGGAGUGAGUCCCCCAAGUUGCAGGGAGUUAACAGCAAGGCUGAGCACAAAACCCGGAGAGCCGAGCCGGGGUGCUCUCUGCCUAUCUGCACAGCCUCUUACAGCCAGGAGUUCUUCUAAUAGCACGCACUAAAAGAAAAUACUCCAGAACGCUGAAAUUGCCAGAGCACCAGCACCCUUUAUAAAGAUUUCUGUGCUGCACAUUUUCAUCUCCUCCACUCGGCAGGAAGGACCACCUUCUUGGUCCAGGUUUCACCCACUCGAACCUAAGCCACCAACACUUGCCUGUAACAAAGCAUUUCCAAGCUGGGGUUUUGGAGGGGGGCCUACAGGCUAUCUUUGACCACCUCCUCCCUUGCCCCUCCUCAGCCCAGUGGGUAUUUUCCGAGCGCAGGCAUUUGGUUUGGCCCUCGCCUAGUGUCCACAGGCGUCCUUGACUGAUGAAACAGACAUGUCUCCAGCGUGA